Molecule: long non-coding RNA, 957 nt
Organism: Papaver somniferum (opium poppy)
Lineage: Eukaryota; Viridiplantae; Streptophyta; Magnoliopsida; Ranunculales; Papaveraceae
Exons: 4
Source: RefSeq, a predicted model, not a curated record
GCUGCUUCUUUCUCUACUACUUCUCUUCUUCAUCAAAAAAUACGAAGAUUCAUUAACCAAAUCUACCUAAAACAUCAAAUCUUCUUACUUCUUCAUCAACAUCAACUGAAAACGAAGAUUCAUGAAUGGUUUAUUGAUUUCAGGCUAAUAUCUAUCAGGAGGAGGGGAACAUUUUUAAUUUGCAUAUUAUGCCUGUUAGGUUUUUAAGGUAAGAAAAAGAGUUGCUGAAAUAAAGACGAUGAUGAUUCAAAACGGUAAGUUCUUUAAAACCCAAUUCCAUUUUUCAUUGCUUGAUCACAUCUAUGUUGUUUAAUUUUUGUUUAAUGGCAAUAUUGAAUUUACGAUUUCUGUAAAAUUGAUUUUGGGAUUUUGAGAAUUGGGCACUCUGUUUGAAACAUGAAAAUUUUGGGCUAAUCAACAUGUUGAUAACAUAUUUCAGUUGAAACACUUUGUGAGUAAUCUAGGUUUUCGAACUUUGUUAUGUUUAAUAAAAUUUGUUCAUGUCACUUGUAGAAUCCAAAGAUUGACUUAAUGUACUUUACUAUUUUGGAUGCAUAUUUGUAAAAUUGUGGAGGGCUAGAGGUACUCAAAAAGACUUGAUGAACGCCGGAUAACUGCUCUUUUGAAACUUACAUGUCCCAAGGGACUGCAAUGUUUAAAAGGCUGGGAGUCUGAGGAAACGAUCUGCAACCCAAACCUGGAAGCUUAUGUUGCGCUGGAGCCAUGUGAUAUGCAAAUAGCUAAACCUUGAUAUCCUGCGACAUAUUGCAGGUAUUUGGGCUUAAGUCAAAAAGAAGUACUCUGGUGAUAUUGUAGUUUGCAGAGGAAUUUUUUUAAGCAAGCGGAGUCUCGUUAUACUUCUGGUGGAGUUCAAUCUUACUCAUAUAUUAGUCUUUCUUUCCCUGUUUUUCAAUGCCUCUUUCAGUUGACACAAACUAGGUCACCCAUCAAUUUAUG